CUUAAAUUGAAGAGUUUGAUCAUGGCUCAGAUUGAACGCUGGCGGCAGGCCUAACACAUGCAAGUCGAGCGGUAGCACAGGAGAGCU
Molecule: ribosomal RNA, 87 nt
Filed under: Pectobacterium actinidiae
Lineage: Bacteria; Pseudomonadati; Pseudomonadota; Gammaproteobacteria; Enterobacterales; Pectobacteriaceae
Description: Pectobacterium carotovorum subsp. actinidiae partial 16S ribosomal RNA
Rfam family: Bacterial small subunit ribosomal RNA
Source: RNAcentral